UACAGAGGUCUCAACCGUUGUUCGGACUCAUUGGGCGUAAAGGGUGCGUAGGCGGUCGCGCAAGUCGAACGUGAAAUCCCCGGGCUCAACCCGGGAACUGCGUCCGAUACUGGAAGGCUUGAAUCCGGGAGAGGGAUGCGGAAUUCCAGGUGUAGCGGUGAAAUGCGUAGAUAUCUGGAGGAACACCGGUGGCGAAGGCGGCAUCCUGGACCGGCAUUGACGCUGAGGCGCGAAAGCCAGGGGAGCAAACGGG
This 253-nucleotide ribosomal RNA is filed under the name uncultured prokaryote. RNAcentral describes it as "partial 16S ribosomal RNA". It matches the Rfam family "Bacterial small subunit ribosomal RNA", at positions 524 to 776 of the family's 1533-position model. The record is from RNAcentral.